GAGGGCAAGUCUGGUGCCAGCAGCCGCGGUAAUUCCAGCUCCAAUAGCGUAUAUUAAAGUUGUUGCAGUUAAAAAGUUCGUAGUUGAAUUUCGGGGUCAGUAGGUUGGUCAUGCCACAGGUAUGUACUGGUCUCACUGAUUCCUCCUUCCUGAUGAACCGUAAUGCCAUUAAUUUGGUGUUGCGGGGAGACUGGACUGUUACUUUGAAAAAAUUAGAGUGUUUAAAGCAGGCUAACGCUUGAAUACAUUAGCAUGGAAUAACGGAAUAGGACGUUCGAUCUUAUUUUGUUGGUUUCUAAGAUUGACGUAAUGAUUAAUAGGGAUAGUUGGGGGCAUUAGUAUUCAAUUGUCAGAGGUGAAAUUCUUGGAUUUAUUGAAGACUAACUACUGCGAAAGCAUUUGCCAAGGAUGUUUUCAUUAAUCAAGAACGAAAGUUAGGGGAUCGAAGACGAUCAGAUACCGUCGUAGUCUUAACCAUAAACUAUGCCGACUAGGGAUCGGAUGAUGUUAAUUUUUUAAUGACUCAUUCGGCGCCUUACGGGAAAC
Molecule: ribosomal RNA, 546 nt
Filed under: uncultured Pestalotiopsis
Lineage: Eukaryota; Fungi; Ascomycota; Sordariomycetes; Amphisphaeriales; Amphisphaeriaceae
Description: SSU rRNA
Rfam family: Eukaryotic small subunit ribosomal RNA
Source: RNAcentral